AGGCUCAAAGGAUUCAAAUACUUGCCCAAGGUCCCAGGUUCGUUUGAUUGACAGAGCAUGAGUACCCUCCUAAAUGCCCCUUGAGGUCUCUAUAUUUAGGAGGAAGCAGCUUCAGAACUCUAGCUCCCCACCCCAGGUCCAUUCCAGUUUAGAAACUCCACAGCCACCUCAACAGCAGGAACAAAGGUGGGUCUCUGUCCUGCCUCUGGGGCCAGGCUGGCUGAUGGCUUCAGGCCCAACCAAAAGAUCCCUUCCACCCACCCGACUCUAGCAACACCCACAUCACCAACCCUGGGCCUCCCACCAGAGCCUCCACCUUCUAGGAAGUCACCCUCCCUCCUGCAAGAUGCUGGUGGCUGAGACUGGAGGGACCCUUUCAAUUUCAGGAUAAACAAACUGUCGUUCUGGCCCAGCCCUCUGCCGGCUUGCUGCUUCCCGCCCCCCUCCAUCCGCAGUGCACAGUCGCUCUGUUCUCCUGCCAACUUGGCAGCUCAUCGCUGCUGUUACUAUCAACACCUCCAAGGGAAAAGGGAGAGGAGUCAGCUCUGAUCGCCUGGCGCACUGUGCAGCAAAUUCAUGUCAGAGCCAGCCUUGGAAUGUCUCCCAAGCUCCCAAGGCUCCUGGAGCCUUUCUCCCAGAUGUGAAACUGAUCCUAAGACCCCCUGUAAUUUCCUGCUGAAAAUCUCCACCAAGAAACACAGCCACAGCCACAGUUCUUCCUGGUAAGAAGCCCCCAGGGCCAGGCAACAAGAAAAGUGAGCUCGUUCAGCAGGCUGGGAUGUAAAUAAGCCACAAGAGGCUGUGCCAUUCUGGGUUGCACCUGUGAGCAUCACUCAGCUGAAGCCCCAUCAGCGUUUCCAUGACAAACUCGUAUUUCCGGAUGCCUUUCUUCCAGCUUGAAGAGCCUGCCUCGUGUGGGGGAAAAAUGAUGUCAUCAGCUGAAAGUGAGAAGCAAGGAGAACUGCGUGCAGGCCUGAAAAGAAAGGAGGCGUGAUGCAGUCAUCUGCCAGAGGGAGUAGGAGAGGCGACUUGCCUGGGGAAAACAGUGUAGGAUUGCUGGGCAGCAAUAUGGCAGCAAUGUGGUCCUCUGAGGUCAGUGGUGAUGAAUUUAAAGGGAAACCUUUCAGUACAGCUCUGUGUUUUUCUCCAGCCACCUUUAACACCUGGAGUGCAGGCAUUAAAUAGCUAAAAGUCACAUUUGACAAGUGUUGAUUUUGCUAGGCCUAUAGGUUGGGAGAGAGAAGGUCAGAAUGGUUGUCAUUGUUAUCUAUUGCUGUGAAACACAUGACUCCAACACAAUUACUCCCAAACAACAAAUAUUUAUUACCUCAUAGUUUCUGUGGGUCACAGUUUGGAAUUUGGAAGCAGCUCAGGCUGGGCAGUUCUGGCUUGGGGUCUUUCACGAGGCUGCAGUCAAAUGUUACCUCAGGUUACAGUCAUCUAAAAGCUUGUAUAGGGCUGGAGGAUCUGCUUCCAGGGUGGUGCACUCACAUGGCUGGCAAGUCAGUAGUGGUGGUUGGUGGACAACUCAGUUCCUCUACAGGCUGUCAGAGUGUACUUACAGCCUGACAACCAGCUUCUCCCAGAGCUACCAGUCCAAGAGGGAGACCUAAUCAGAAGCUAUCCUUCUUUGACCUAUGCUCAGAAGUGACAUUGCGUUCCUU
This 1664-nucleotide long non-coding RNA is filed under the name Homo sapiens (human). RNAcentral describes it as "HSALNT0243059". The record is from RNAcentral. Lineage: Eukaryota; Metazoa; Chordata; Mammalia; Primates; Hominidae.